Sphaeramia orbicularis (orbiculate cardinalfish) is the source of this 2055-nucleotide long non-coding RNA. RefSeq lists it as uncharacterized. The transcript is spliced from 3 exons. The record is from RefSeq and is a predicted model, not a curated record. Lineage: Eukaryota; Metazoa; Chordata; Actinopteri; Kurtiformes; Apogonidae.
GCUUUCUACCAGUGGCCUUCAGGGAGCACAGUCCAUUUUAUCACUCCGUUACCGUAUGUUGACCAUAAACAUACUAUUUAUUAUACUAUCAAGAAGAGCUCAGGCUAACUGUGAGUGUGUGUGGGGGGCUCUUAAGCUCUCAGAGGAGGAAGGAUAUUAACUCCACACCGGCGGCCGUCAUGGAUAUUAACUCUUCCCUGUAAGCCUUCUUCCCUGCUGAUACAGCACACACUGAACUGGAUUGACUCCAAUUCCACGGUUCACAUACAGCAUGCAAUGAACUGCAGCAGAGCCAGGUCUAUGGGUCGUUUCCACCGGGAGUCCUUCUGCAGAGCAAUACCAUAUCCUGUAGUAGCGAAAACUUUUCCACUUCCAAUGGUCACCAGCUUGCAGCCCUCAUCUUUCCCAGCCAUGUAGUUCAAAACAGCAGCAUCGUAGAUGAAGGCAUCUAGUUUCCUGUAUCCAAAUGAACCCUUGUCUCAGUAUCUGAUUUCUCAAAGCAUACAUGAUAUUUUACAUUUUUUAAGAAAUCGCUUUUCAUCAAAAUAACGUGGAAGGAUCAGGGGUUAGAACUCUUACUUGCACCCCAGACAUGUAAAAAAUAAUUGUAUCCACUUGACAAAGUUUGCUUUUUUUUCUUGCAAAUAUACAUAGAGUACUGUGCAAAGGUCCAAGGCCAGCAUUAGGUUUGUUAGUUUAAUUAAGUUAUAUUGACCACACAUGCAUUUCUCAGUCUUUUUACUAAGAUACAAUCUGCAUAAAUGGGAAGUAUAUAGUAGUAAAAACAAAGGUUUCAGGGGAAAAAAACAGGUUCUAUAACCCAAAUAGAUAGUAUUUAGAGUGAUUUCCAUUAGCACUUAACAUGUCUUAACCCUUUUGUUCUCGCAAUUGGACAUUUAUUGCAUGGAUUUUCUGAUGCUUUAUAUCAGGUUUAAUUCAACGCAUGUCAGAUGUUUCUAACUGUGCUGCUCUUGUCAUGGGGUCAAGGGUUGCACUAAACAGGAACUUUAACCCUUUUUGUGUGUCUUUUAAGGCUGUGUACAUAUUUCCUUGAUUUUCUUGUUGUACUUGAGGAAAAGAGAAUAAGAAAUAAAUAUGUUUGUUCAUUUCACCCUGCAAAAACAAAGCUAAAAGUCACCAAAGAGUUGUGCACAGUACUGUAGAUGUUCGCACAUUCUAAUUACUUGUAUGUACGGUGGCCCUAAGGGUCAAAAAGCAAGAAAAUGUUCUUGGUUACAGCAGGGCAAUACUUUUCUUCUGUGACUGAACAGAACCCAGACAGAAACAGGAUGGGGCACUGAACUGCCACUAAGGACUGCAAAAAAAAUAGGUCUUGUUCCACUCUUCCCUUUAUCUAAAAUGUCAUUGCGUUUGGUGUAAAUGUUUUGUUUUGUGAAAUUUGUUUUCUGAAAUGUCAUGUCUUGUUAGAUGUUGUAUUUGCUGUGAUGUCUUGUCUUGUUUCCAACAUGUUGUGUUUUCUGAAAUGUCAUUCUGUUUUGACCCUCUGCUCUACCUUAUGUAGGGCCUCUAAUUCAUGUUGACUCAAAAGGUAAACUAAACAGUUUAUUCUGUGCAAUCCACACCUCCAACUGCUAAAUGGAACUUUUGAGAAAAUGCUGUUUUCAGCAGUGAGAGUGAAACAUGAAGGGUCAGGAUAUUCAGGAUGUUCAUUGUUCACAGUGGAAAUAAAAAGCUGUCUCCCUCUGUAUUUGCCUUGAAAUUUGACUUGGCAGUUUAUUUUUGAGUUUUAUUACUUUAUAUAUAAAUACAGUAAGUGGUUCUUAAAGUGUUUUUAACAAUGACUUGGUUCUUUCAUGCCUUUGACAGCACUUUACUAUUAAAAUUAAGCUGCACGAGACACAAUAUUUUCAUCUAUAAAUACACCCAUCACUUUGGCCUAAUUUUCAAAUCAGUGCUUCAACAAAAGGAGCAUCAAAUGUGCUGUUUUACAAAAUGUAGGAUUAUUAUCCCAUUCUCAGCUUAUGUUCUUGAUGAGAUGAAGAGCAGUCAAAUGUAAUGGGUUGAAUAUGACAAAAUAAAAGUGAAACUUUACCC